Molecule: ribosomal RNA, 94 nt
Filed under: Acanthosepion pharaonis
Lineage: Eukaryota; Metazoa; Mollusca; Cephalopoda; Sepiida; Sepiidae
Source: RNAcentral
UUCGAUCAUAUCACAUUGAAAAACCAGUUCCCGUACGAUCACCGAAGUUAAGCAACGUCGAGCCUGGUCAGUACUUAGAUGGGUAACUGCUUGA